AAGCCUGACUCAGCGACGCCGCGUGAGCGAUGAAGGCCUUCGGGUCGUAAAGAUCUUUCAGCGGGGAAGAUUAUGAAGGUACCCGCAGAAGCAGGACCGGCUAACUACGUGCCAGCAGCCGCGGUAAUACCUAGGCUCCAAGCGUUGUUCGGAAUUACUGGGCGUAAAGCGAGUGUAGGCGGCUUGCCAAGUCGAUUGUGAAAUCUCCCGGCUCAACCGGGAGGGUGCGGUCGAUACUGGCAAGCUAGAGUACGGUAAAAGAAGGGAGAAUUCCUGGUGGAGCGGUGGAAUGCGUAU
Molecule: ribosomal RNA, 297 nt
Filed under: uncultured Terriglobales bacterium
Lineage: Bacteria; Pseudomonadati; Acidobacteriota; Terriglobia; Terriglobales
Description: uncultured Acidobacteriales bacterium partial 16S ribosomal RNA
Rfam family: Bacterial small subunit ribosomal RNA
Source: RNAcentral